GGUGGAUGCCUUGGCACCAGGAGCCGAUGAAGGGCGUAGGACGCUGCGAUAAGCCUCGGGGAGCUGUC
RNAcentral lists this ribosomal RNA (68 nucleotides) under Nocardia abscessus. Its description in RNAcentral is "partial 23S ribosomal RNA". Lineage: Bacteria; Bacillati; Actinomycetota; Actinomycetes; Mycobacteriales; Nocardiaceae. The record is from RNAcentral.